GUGAACGCUGGCGGUCGGCCUAACACAUGCACGUCGAACGGCAGCACAGUAAGAGCUUGCUCUUACGGGUGGCGAGUGGCGGACGGGUGAGGAAUACAUCGGAAUCUACUUUUUCGUGGGGGAUAACGUAGGGAAACUUACGCUAAUACCGCAUACGACCUACGGGUGAAAGCAGGGGAUCUUCGGACCUUGCGCGAUUGAAUGAGCCGAUGUCGGAUUAGCUAGUUGGCGGGGUAAAGGCCCACCAAGGCGACGAUCCGUAGCUGGUCUGAGAGGAUGAUCAGCCACACUGGAACUGAGACACGGUCCAGACUCCUACGGGAGGCAGCAGUGGGGAAUAUUGGACAAUGGGCGCAAGCCUGAUCCAGCCAUACCGCGUGGGUGAAGAAGGCCUUCGGGUUGUAAAGCCCUUUUGUUGGGAAAGAAAAGCAGCAGAUUAAUACCCCGCUGUUCUGACGGUACCCAAAGAAUAAGCACCGGCUAACUUCGUG
This 491-nucleotide ribosomal RNA is filed under the name uncultured bacterium. RNAcentral describes it as "partial 16S ribosomal RNA". It matches the Rfam family "Bacterial small subunit ribosomal RNA", at positions 29 to 507 of the family's 1533-position model. The record is from RNAcentral.